GAAUCAGGCUGACACUGGGCUCCGGCUGAGAGCACAUCCCUAUCCAGCUCCUUUCUCUGCCACUUCCCUCACCCCUCACCGGCUGAGAACACACCCUCAAUCAAGCACAAGCCCAUGAAUCCCCAUGUCUGACUUCUGGGCAACCCCACUUAAAACCAAGAUAUAAAUAUCAUUAAAAAUUAACAAGCCUUUUCACUGUCAGCCAGUUGUCAACCACAGGUGGUACAGACAGCAGUUAGUCCUAAUGCGUAGAAGAAAGCAGCUUAUUAAUGAUUAAGAGACUAACCUUUGGGGCCCAGCAUCCUGGGGCCCAAAUCAUAACUCUGACCCAUACCAGGUGAGCGAUCUCAGCUAAAUUACAUAAACUCUCCAAGCUCCAACUCCUCCUGUGAUAAAUACUGAAAAUAAUAUCCGAACCUUAGCACUGCUGAGGAAAUAAAAAUGAGGUGACGUUUAUCUGAAGAGCUUAGUAUACAGAGUGAUGACGGCACUGUGGACACGGUCACCUCUAUCUUACGACAAACCAGGUCAUUCAAGGUACACCAAAGAAGCACAACGCCGAGUUUCCAAUGCCUGGGAAAGUUUUCCUUAGAGGAGGAGGAAUCCAGGAGUGAGGACAAAAAUAAGAAGUUCGCGCAUCUCCUGCUAAUGGAAACCUCAUCCAAUAAUCUCCUCUCAUCUAAUACUGAUAAAGACAUCAAAUGCUCCACACGGCACAGAGGGAAUUUCAAUCUGAGACCAUAGGUGCUGCUCAGAAAUGAAGGCUGAGGCGAGAAAUGCACCAGAGGGUCACUGGCGCAAAAGGACUCAAGACGUGCGACGUCCAACUGGGUAACACUGGCCCCCUGAGCUCCUGAAUGGUGGCUGCUGCAGAUCCACGUGUGCUCGGAGACUGAAAUACACGCGAGAUUGGGAAGGCCAGCUACAAUUUACAACAAGAAACGGAUCAGGGGAGUUCCCAUCUUGGUCCAGCGCUAACGAACCCAACUAGUAUCCCUGAGGCUGAGGGUUCAAUCCCUGGACACACUCCGGGGGUUGGGGAUCUGGCAUUGCCAUGAGCUGUGGUGUAGGUUGCAGACACAGGUCAGAUCUGAAGUUGCUGUGGCUGUAACUCCGAUUCAACCCCUAGCCUAGGAACCUCCACAUGCCAUGGGU
RNAcentral lists this long non-coding RNA (1155 nucleotides) under Sus scrofa (pig). RNAcentral's name for it is "lncRNA (ENSSSCG00030066014.1)". Lineage: Eukaryota; Metazoa; Chordata; Mammalia; Artiodactyla; Suidae. The record is from RNAcentral.